AAACGUAGGUGGCAAGCGUUGUCCGGAUUUACUGGGCGUAAAGGGCGUGUAGGCGGUUCGUUAAGUCCGGUGUGAAAUCUCCCGGCCUAACUGGGAGGGGUCAUCGGAUACUGGCGGACUAGAGGGGGGCAGAGGAAGGUGGAAUUCCCGGUGUAGCGGUGAUAUGCGUAGAUAUCGGGAGGAACACCAGUGGCGAAGGCGGCCUUCUGGGCCCACCCUGACGCUGAGGCGCGAAAGCGUGGGGAGCAAACCGGAUUAGAAACCCGAGUAGUCC
This 274-nucleotide ribosomal RNA is filed under the name uncultured bacterium. RNAcentral's name for it is "partial 16S ribosomal RNA". It matches the Rfam family "Bacterial small subunit ribosomal RNA", at positions 523 to 796 of the family's 1533-position model. The record is from RNAcentral.